Long non-coding RNA from Amblyraja radiata (thorny skate), 70 nucleotides. RefSeq lists it as uncharacterized. Lineage: Eukaryota; Metazoa; Chordata; Chondrichthyes; Rajiformes; Rajidae. The record is from RefSeq and is a predicted model, not a curated record. The transcript has 3 exons.
UGGACUGGGCAAAAUCCACCAUUCCCUGCAACCUCUUGAGUUCCUGUGCGUUGGAAUUGCCGUACCAGGC